AAUUUCUGACUCGCGAUCAAUCCCGAAUGUUUUUCCGCCCCCGUUCUGAUGCUCUAAAUAUUUUUAAUAGACUCCAGAUGAAUUCUGAUAUCCUGUAUAAAUAUUUCCCGAGCCUCCGGCUUCCUCGAAGAAUUCCAUAAUACCGAAAUUAGGGUUUUCGCCCAACUUCGGGUUUUCCCGUCGUGCUUUGAUCCUGUCGUGCUUGCUUCCCGUCAUGCUUAAUUCCCGUCCUGCUUAAUUCCCGUCCUGCUUCCAAUGUCUUCGAAAUAAUAUUCCGCUGAAAUGAAGUUUUGCGGAAAACUUCGUGCUGAAGAAACGUCAUUCUUCCCAAACGUCGAGCUUCUAAACCGUCGUACUUCCAAAAAUGUUGUACUUCCAAAACGUCCUUCAUAUCAAUCCAAGACAUCUACUAACUAUGGUCGAGUAACUUAUUCGACUCAUAGUUCACCCACGAUCACUUCUUCGCCCACCUCGUACUUUAAAACUUCUCGAUCGAUCCUUAUCGCCCGCAACUCGACC
Molecule: long non-coding RNA, 519 nt
Filed under: Brassica napus (rape)
Lineage: Eukaryota; Viridiplantae; Streptophyta; Magnoliopsida; Brassicales; Brassicaceae
Description: long non-coding RNA (BNAP_LNC021985)
Source: RNAcentral